AACAGGUGGAGCCUGCGGUUUAAUCGGACUCAACGCCGGGAAACUCACCAGAUAAGACAGCUGAAUGAUAGUCGGGCUGAAGACUCUACUUGACUAGCUGAGAGGAGGUGCAUGGCCGUCGUCAGUUCGUACUGUGAAGCAUCCUGUUAAGUCAGGCAACGAGCGAGACCCACGCCAACAGUUGCCAGCUCGUCCUCCGGGAUGGUGGGGACACUGUUGGGACCGCCUCUGCUAAAGAGGAGGAAGGAAUGGGCAACGGUAGGUCAGCAUGCCCCGAAUUAUCUGGGCUACACGCGGGCUACAAUGGGUGGGACAAUGGGUAUCGACACCGAAAGGUGAAGGCAAUCUCCUAAACCCAUCCGUAGUUCGGAUUGUGGGCUGCAACUCGCCCACAUGAAGCUGGAAUCCGUAGUAAUCGCGUUUCAACAGAACGCGGUGAAUACGUCCCUGCUCCUU
RNAcentral lists this ribosomal RNA (456 nucleotides) under uncultured Methanomicrobiales archaeon. RNAcentral's name for it is "bacterial SSU rRNA". It matches the Rfam family "Archaeal small subunit ribosomal RNA", at positions 883 to 1338 of the family's 1478-position model. Lineage: Archaea; Methanobacteriati; Methanobacteriota; Methanomicrobia; Methanomicrobiales. The record is from RNAcentral.